RNAcentral lists this ribosomal RNA (460 nucleotides) under uncultured bacterium. RNAcentral's name for it is "partial 16S ribosomal RNA". It matches the Rfam family "Bacterial small subunit ribosomal RNA", at positions 338 to 795 of the family's 1533-position model. The record is from RNAcentral.
CCUACGGGUGGCUGCAGUGAGGAAUAUUGGUCAAUGGACGAGAGUCUGAACCAGCCAAGUAGCGUGAAGGAUGACUGCCCUAUGGGUUGUAAACUUCUUUUAUCUGGGAAUAAAAUGUUCCACGUGUGGGAUUUUGUAUGUACCUUAUGAAUAAGGAUCGGCUAACUCCGUGCCAGCAGCCGCGGUAAUACGGAGGAUCCGAGCGUUAUCCGGAUUUAUUGGGUUUAAAGGGGGCGUAGGCGGAUUGUUAAGUCAGUUGUGAAAGUGUGCGGCUCAACCGUAAAAUUGCAGUUGAAACUGGCAGUCUUGAGUACAGUAGAGGUGGGCGGAAUUCGUGGUGUAGCGGUGAAAUGCUUAGAUAUCACGAAGAACUCCGAUUGCGAAGGCAGUUCACUGGACUGCAACUGACACUGAGGCUCGAAAGUGUGGGUAUCAAACAGGAUUAGAUACCCGAGUAGUC